RNAcentral lists this ribosomal RNA (440 nucleotides) under uncultured bacterium. RNAcentral's name for it is "partial 16S ribosomal RNA". It matches the Rfam family "Bacterial small subunit ribosomal RNA", at positions 338 to 795 of the family's 1533-position model. The record is from RNAcentral.
CCUACGGGAGGCAGCAGUGGGGAAUAUUGCACAAUGGGGGAAACCCUGAUGCCGCGACGCCGCGUGAGUGAAGCAGUAUCUCGGUACGUAAAGCUCUAUCAGCAGGGAAGAAAAUGACGGUUCCUGACUAAGAAGCCCCGGCUAACUACUUGCCAGCCGCCGCGGUAAUACGUAGGGGGCAAGCGUUAUCAGGCUUUUCUGGGUGUUGAGGGAGCGACGACGGCGGCAAAAGUAUUGAGUGAUAUGACGGGGCUUAACCCCCGAACUGAUUUGGACACUGUGCGGCUGGAGUGCAGGAGGGGUAAGGGGAAGUCCGAGUGUAGCGGUGAAAGGCGUAGAUAUUAGGAGGAACACCGGGGGCGAAGGCGGCUUACUGGACUGUAACUGACGUGGAGGCUCGAAAGCGUGGGGAGCAAACAGGAUUAGAUACCCCGGUAGUC